This 382-nucleotide ribosomal RNA is filed under the name uncultured eukaryote. Its description in RNAcentral is "partial 18S ribosomal RNA". It matches the Rfam family "Eukaryotic small subunit ribosomal RNA", at positions 592 to 976 of the family's 1831-position model. The record is from RNAcentral.
CAAUAGCGUAUAUUAAAGUUGUUGCAGUUAAAAAGCUCGUAGUUGGAUUUCUGGUGGGAACGUUUGGCCGGCCGUAACGGUUUGUGCUGAAAUGUUUUUCGCCAUCCUUGACGAAUACUGGUUCGCCAUUAAGUUGUGUGAGCUUGGAGUCGUCAUCGUUUACUGUGAAAAAAUUAGAGUGUUCAAAGCAGGCUUAUGCCGUUGAAUACAUUAGCAUGGAAUAAUAAGAUAGGACCCUGGUACUAUUUUGUUGGUUUGCGUACCUAGGUAAUGAUUAAUAGGGACAGUUGGGGGUAUUUGUAUUCCAUUGUCAGAGGUGAAAUUCUUGGAUUUAUGGAAGACAAACUACUGCGAAAGCAUUUACCAAGGAUGUUUNCAUUAA